Long non-coding RNA from Arabidopsis lyrata subsp. lyrata, 1117 nucleotides. RefSeq lists it as uncharacterized. The record is from RefSeq and is a predicted model, not a curated record. The transcript is spliced from 3 exons. Lineage: Eukaryota; Viridiplantae; Streptophyta; Magnoliopsida; Brassicales; Brassicaceae.
AGUAAAAAAAAAAAAAUCAGAAUGAUUUAUUUUCGAGAGAGCUGUCUCUCUUGAGAGAAAUUUUGAUUGGCAAGAGAGACGAUGACGUGUCACUCUGUAAUUGGUUUGUAUUUUUGGCCAAAGAAAAAAAAAACGCGUGAAAAAUCUCCAGCUUUCCUUUUCUUUCCCCAUCUCUCUCUCUUAAGACAAAACAGAUGGCUAUGGAGAGAAAUCAAUUUCGAGAUCGAUGGAGGAUCGAAUGAGAGUCUUCGAUCAAGAAAUCUUGUAAUUGGUAAGAAUCUACUACUUUUCUGCAGAUUAUCAUGAUUUAAUUUUGGGAAUUUGUUGUUGGUCGAUUAGGGAUUUUGAAUUUUAGAUUUUAGAGUAAAGAUGAAGGUAGAAGUGCAUGUAUCAGUAGCUUAUGGACUCUACUCGGAAGGAAAAUAAAUUCCUAAAUGGAUGACAUUCAUUUCAUCCGUUAAGGUAAUGGAUUGCUGCUUCUCUGAAUCUUAAGACUUGUUAUUGUUUCAUGAACAAAAUAAGGUAAAGAAGAAGAACGGCUGAGUUAAGAAACAAUCAUGAGUCUUAUAUAUAUGCUACCAAAGUGAAGCGUGUGAAGAAAAACAGAACCGAGAUGGGAUGAAGAUUUUCAGUUCCCAGUAGAUGAGCCUCCCAUAAACGAUAAGCUUCACGUUGAAGUCAUUAGUUCUUCUUCAAGAUAACUUCAUCCUAAAGUAGAAACAAAAACAGAUCUCCUUUGAAAUCCCUUUUAAAGAUUGCAUCAAAACCAUGUCUUUGAGAAAUCAAGAACCAACAUUUUAUCUGAUAUGAUCAGCUUGAUCUAAAGCAAUUAUCGAUUUCAUGAGACGUGGCAAUCUUCCUACUGAGACCUUUGUUCUUGGAUCCAAUCAAUAUGGUUAUGAUUUCUUCCUGCAGAUAUGAUGGAUCAAUUGGUUCAGCUUGUCAAGCUAUGGCUGCAGUUGAUCAGUUUGCAUUGCAGUUUGUUCAGAAAAUCAUCUAGCUUCAUCAUUUGCGAAGCUAGAACCAUAUAUAUUUUUACAUGUUUGAUUUUUUUUUUUUUUUAAGAACCUACUUGAGAGAGAUCACCAUUGGAGUAUGAAAUUUUUUUAAAAAAAAA